GAAUGUUAAGAAGAGGGAACUAAAGAGCCAAAUUAUCAUGAAAGACAAGAAAAGCCACGGAGGAUAAUUCUGAGAGAUGGGGAGAUUCCAAGUGUGGCAGAGAAAUCCAGAAGCAUGAAUGAUGGCUCACAAGAGCAUGAAGGGAAGGAGAAGAGCAUGUCCAUGAGGAGAGGGGAACAUAAAAGCAGAGAAAGGUGAAGGAAAGUUUAUCAAAGACUUAAAACAAAGAAUAAAACAUUUAAAAAAUAUAUUUUUAGAGAAAAAAAAGUAGAACUGUGAUGAUGAUGAGGUAUUUGGAAAGUAGUUAAUGUUUUAUAUUGUUAGAAAUUCAUCCAUUCAUUUUGGAAUGUAUUCCCAGGUGGAGUCAUGAGGAUGCUACCCAGCCACCGGGAGGCAAAGGUGGGGGACACCAUGGACAGACUACUAGUCCAUUGGAAGAAAACACAGAGACAUUGUGGCAGCCCACUUCCGCCCCGUUCUCCUCCCGGGUCUUCGGUACCACCAUCAGUGUCUGGGGUCUCAUCACUACUCCAAGGUGAUCACUUGCAUUCCUUAUGUCUCCAGCCUAGAGCCCAACUGUUUAUGCUUCAUAGCUCAAACUUUCACAAUUAAAUCUUUCCGUCUUCUGCCAAUCAA
Long non-coding RNA from Oryzias melastigma (Indian medaka), 636 nucleotides. RefSeq lists it as uncharacterized. NCBI's taxonomy places the organism in Eukaryota, Metazoa, Chordata, Actinopteri, Beloniformes, Adrianichthyidae. The transcript is spliced from 2 exons. The record is from RefSeq and is a predicted model, not a curated record.